UAUGUGAUCGUCUCUCGCAUAUCAAUAAGCGGAGGAAAAGAAACUAACAAGGAUUCCCCUAGUAACGGCGAGUGAAGCGGGAAGAGCUCAAAUUUGAAAUCUUAAAGGGUUUCCCUUUACGAAUUGUAGUUUAAAGAAGUGUUUUCUGUUGAGGUUUUGGUAAAAGUUCUUUGGAAUAGGACAUCAUAGAGGGUGAGAAUCCCGUAUUUGACCUUUACUUUCAACUUUGUGAUACACUUUCAAAGAGUCGGAUUGUUUGGGAAUGCAGUCCAAAAUGGGUGGUAAAUUUCAUCUAAAGCUAAAUAUUGGCGAGAGACCGAUAGCGAACAAGUACCGUGAGGGAAAGAUGAAAAGAACUUUGAAAAGAGAGUUAAACAGGUACGUGAAAUUGUCAAAAGGGAAGCGUUUGACACCAGUGUUGUUUUUCUGAAAAUCAAUUAAAGAACUGUUUAUGCUAAGCUGUUUAGACUUUAUCAGCUAACUGUUUAGUUUUGAGCUUUUCUUUAAUGCACUUUUCAGUUAACAAGUCAACAUCAAUUUCUUUUGCUGUAAAAAAGCUUGAGGAAGGUGGCUUGAGAUUCGUCUUAAGUGUUUAUAGCCUCUUGCCUAUGCAGUCGGAGAGAUUGAGGUCUGCAGCGUAGAUCCUUCGGGGCUAAAUGCAUUUGUGCUAAGUUAUAGCAUUUUAUAGACAACUUGUUGACUAUGAUUUGUCUUGUAGCUUAUUCGCUUAUGUUAUUUUACCUACGCUUAGGAUGUUGAACGCGCACAGAGUCUC
This 775-nucleotide ribosomal RNA is filed under the name uncultured Neocallimastigales. Its description in RNAcentral is "partial large subunit ribosomal RNA". It matches the Rfam family "Eukaryotic large subunit ribosomal RNA", at positions 24 to 635 of the family's 3401-position model. Lineage: Eukaryota; Fungi; Neocallimastigomycota; Neocallimastigomycetes; Neocallimastigales. The record is from RNAcentral.